RNAcentral lists this ribosomal RNA (253 nucleotides) under uncultured bacterium. Its description in RNAcentral is "partial 16S ribosomal RNA". It matches the Rfam family "Bacterial small subunit ribosomal RNA", at positions 524 to 776 of the family's 1533-position model. The record is from RNAcentral.
UACGUAGGGUGCGAGCGUUAAUCGGAAUUACUGGGCGUAAAGCGUGCGCAGGCGGUUCGUUGUGUCGGCGGUGAAAGCCCCGGGCUUAACCUGGGAAUGGCCGUCGAAACUGGCGAACUGGAGUGUGGCAGAGGGGGGUGGAAUUCCGCGUGUAGCAGUGAAAUGCGUAGAGAUGCGGAGGAACACCGAUGGCGAAGGCAGCCCCCUGGGCUGACACUGACGCUGAGGCACGAAAGCGUGGGGAGCAAACAGG